GUUCGAUUCAAUUACUGAAUGAAUUAGUAGACGGAUAAGAUCUAUUUAUAUAUAUAAGUAUAUGCAGUAGACUCAUAGUGGCUAGUAGCUCUCAGGAAUGAGAAUUCUAAUUUACUUAACGUGUAGAGGGUAAAAUGGUUUUAUUGGUAUUGGGUUUGAUAAAUAUCAAUGCAAUGAAUUGUUUCAAGGCCAAUCAUAAUUGGCUUAUCAGAACAGAACGAAAUUCAUUUAUUUGAUUAAUACAGGUACCUUAGCAAUUCGACAUAGAUCCAAUCUAUUUUAUCGAAACAUGUGAUGAAGGGAUUUGCUUUGUCCACCGAACCCAAUUUUUAGUUUUAGAAAAAAACACACACACACAUAAUUUUCGAUAACUUCUUGCUGCCUCUUCCAAAAAUUCCCGAUUUACUUUUUGUUAAUUUACCGGCUUAGUGUGAGAUAGAAACAUGC
Molecule: long non-coding RNA, 447 nt
Filed under: Gossypium barbadense (sea-island cotton)
Lineage: Eukaryota; Viridiplantae; Streptophyta; Magnoliopsida; Malvales; Malvaceae
Description: long non-coding RNA (GBAR_LNC014419)
Source: RNAcentral